AGAGUUUGAUCAUGGCUCAGAACGAACGCUGGCGGCGUGGAUAAGACAUGCAAGUCGGACGAGAUUUUUCGUUGUAGCAAUACGAUGGAAAGUCUAGUGGCGAACGGGUGCUUAACACGUGGGCAAUCUGUCUUAAAGUGGGGGAUAGCUCGGCGAAAGCCGAAUUAAUACCGCAUGUGAUUAGAGUGGACAUCCAUUCGAAAUUAAAGGUGGCGCAAGCUACCGCUUUUUGAGGAGCCCGCGGCCUAUCAGCUUGUUGGUGAGGUAACAGCUCACCAAGGCUUUGACGGGUAGCUGGUCUGAGAGGACGACCAGCCACACUGGGACUGAGACACGGCCCAGACACCUACGGGUGGCAGCAGUCGAGAAUUUUUCUCAAUGGGGGAAACCCUGAAGGAGCGACGCCGCGUGGAGGAUGAAGGUCUUCGGAUUGUAAACUCCUGUCAUUGGGGAACAAGUCGCUUACGUUAACUGCGUGAGCGUUGAUAGUACCCGAAGAGGAAGAGACGGCUAACUCUGUGCCAGCAGCCGCGGUAAUACAGAGGUCUCAAGCGUUGUUCGGAUUCAUUGGGCGUAAAGGGUGCGUAGGCGGCGCGGUAAGUCGGGUGUGAAAUCUUGGAGCUUAACUCCGAAACUGCAUUCGAUACUGCCGUGCUUGAGGACUGGAGAGGAGACUGGAAUUUACGGUGUAGCGGUGAAAUGCGUAGAUAUCGUAAGGAAGACCAGUGGCGAAGGCGGGUCUCUGGACAGUUCCUGACGCUGAGGCACGAAGGUCAGGGGAGCAAACGGGAUUAGAUACCCCCGUAGUCC
Molecule: ribosomal RNA, 810 nt
Filed under: uncultured bacterium
Lineage: Bacteria
Description: bacterial SSU rRNA
Rfam family: Bacterial small subunit ribosomal RNA
Source: RNAcentral